UCCCAGACUCCUACGGGAGGCAGCAGUGGGGAAUAUUGCACAAUGGGGGGAACCCUGAUGCAGCGACGCCGCGUGAGCGAUGAAGUAUUUCGGUAUGUAAAGCUCUAUCAGCAGGGAAGAAAAUGACGGUACCUGACUAAGAAGCCCCGGCUAACUACGUGCCAGCAGCCGCGGUAAUACGUAGGGGGCAAGCGUUAUCCGGAUUUACUGGGUGUAAAGGGAGCGUAGACGGCUGUGCAAGCCAGAUGUGAAAGCCCGGGGCUCAACCCCGGGACUGCAUUUGGAACUGCGUGGCUUGAGUAUCGGAGAGGCAGGCGGAAUUCCUAGUGUAGCGGUGAAAUGCGUAGAUAUUAGGAGGAACGCCAGUGGCGAAGGCGGCCUGCUGGACGACAACUGACGGUGAGGCGCGAAAGCGUGGGGAGCAAACAGGAUUAGAUACCCCUGUAGA
This 448-nucleotide ribosomal RNA is filed under the name uncultured bacterium. RNAcentral describes it as "bacterial SSU rRNA". It matches the Rfam family "Bacterial small subunit ribosomal RNA", at positions 329 to 794 of the family's 1533-position model. The record is from RNAcentral.